CAAUAGCGUAUAUUUAAGUUGUUGCAGUUAAAAAGCUCGUAGUUGGAUUUCGGAUGGGACUUGCCGGUCCGUCGUUUCGAUGUGCACUGGCCAGUCCUAUCUUGUUGUCGGGGACUAGCUCCUGGGCUUCACUGUCCGGGACUAGGAGCUGACGAGGUUACUUUGAGUAAAUUAGAGUGUUCAAAGCAAGCCUACGCUCUGAAUACAUUAGCAUGGAAUAACACGAUAGGACUCUGGCUUAUCUUGUUGGUCUGUGAGACCAGAGUAAUGAUUAAGAGGGACAGUCGGGGGCAUUCGUAUUUCGUUGUCAGAGGUGAAAUUCUUGGAUUUAUGAAAGACGAACUUCUGCGAAAGCAUUUGUCAAGGAUGUUUUCAUUAA
This 379-nucleotide ribosomal RNA is filed under the name uncultured eukaryote. RNAcentral's name for it is "partial 18S ribosomal RNA". It matches the Rfam family "Eukaryotic small subunit ribosomal RNA", at positions 592 to 976 of the family's 1831-position model. The record is from RNAcentral.